GACGAACGCUGGCGGCGUGCUUAACACAUGCAAGUCGAACGGAAAGGCCCUGCUUUUGUGGGGUGCUCGAGUGGCGAACGGGUGAGUAACACGUGAGUAACCUGCCCUUGACUUUGGGAUAACUUCAGGAAACUGGGGCUAAUACCGGAUAGGAGCUCCUGCUGCAUGGUGGGGGUUGGAAAGUUUCGGCGGUUGGGGAUGGACUCGCGGCUUAUCAGCUUGUUGGUGGGGUAGUGGCUUACCAAGGCUUUGACGGGUAGCCGGCCUGAGAGGGUGACCGGCCACAUUGGGACUGAGAUACGGCCCCGACUCCUACGGGAGGCCGCAGUGGGGAAUAUUGCACAAUGGGCGGAAGCCUGAUGCCGCAACGCCGCGUGCGGGAUGACGGCCUUCGGGUUGUAAACCGCUUUCGCCUGUGACGAAGCGUGAGUGACGGUAAUGGGUAAAGAAGCACCGGCUAACUACGUG
RNAcentral lists this ribosomal RNA (468 nucleotides) under uncultured bacterium. RNAcentral's name for it is "partial 16S ribosomal RNA". It matches the Rfam family "Bacterial small subunit ribosomal RNA", at positions 28 to 507 of the family's 1533-position model. The record is from RNAcentral.